GGGCCCUGAUCUGAACCCCAAACAGGCUGACAUGUGGCAGACCAGAGUUAGCACCCACAGUGGUAAAGCCAUCGGAGUUGCCAUCGGCUGCAUCUUAGGGAUGUUCCCGCUCCUCUUCUUCAAAGAUGAGACGAAGAAGAAAGCAGUGGAAAGGGAGGGUAAAGAUGGAUCACUGACCUCCAUCUCCACUGGCAGCAGCAAUUGAGACAACUUGACCGAAAGACUUACCUUCUCGGGAAGAGAGAGAGAGAGAACUUAUCAUUGGACUACGGCUACUUCACAACCUAACUACUGCAUAAUGAAUAACCUCAAUCAAGCGUGACUACUGAUGUCAAUUGUUGAUGUCAAUGUCUUCAAUUGUUCCUACUGCAACGUUCAAAAAGCAGUAUGAAGAAAAACAACAACGAUGGUAAAUACAAGUGGACCAAUCUUCCAACCACGUUUUCUGCUGCUUCUUCGGGUUGUUUUGUUUGUUUUGUUUUUGAGUUGGUGCAACUUUUCCUUUUUUGAGUUUAGUGUAUCUUAGUCCUAAUCAGUUAGAGGUGGCCAGGUUGGAUUUCUGAUGGACUACACUCAAUUCAGUUCAAUUGAACUGUAAUAUCUCUCAACAGGGGGGGAGGGGGGGGUAUUCCUGCAACAUCUGGUGUAAGUAAUCAACAUGCUGUGUGGCUGUUGUCUCUUUAGAUUAAAGGACCGUGUGAGGAGAGGACAAGGCCAGCUGCUAUAGCUAGAUAACACAUUUACAGAAACUAUUCAGUCUUCAGUUAGUUUACUGAGGUUAGACCUUUCCUACUGGAUUUCAUUGGGGCGGCAGGUAGCCUAGUGGUUAGAGUGUAGGGGCGGCAGGUAGACUAGUGGUUAGAGUGUAGGACUAAUAACCAAAAGGUUGCAAGAUCGAAUCCCCCGAGCUGACAAGAAUGAAGAAGCUGCUCAUGUCACACGGUCACAAACACCCUCCUCCAUUUUGGACUUCCAGAAUAGGAAAAACAUCUGCUCCCAUCAUCCAAUGGAAAUGCUCUGUUUUGUUUUUUUGGUGGAUAACUCGAUAACGCCAUGGCUGCAUGCUAAUCAUAAAACUAAUUCAGAUUUUAAUUGUUAGGCUGAGUGAAAUGUUGGACUUUAGUAUAUCUGUAAAUACAACAGUAGAGCACAUAACAGCAG
This is a long non-coding RNA of Oncorhynchus tshawytscha (Chinook salmon), 1161 nucleotides long. The record is from Ensembl. NCBI's taxonomy places the organism in Eukaryota, Metazoa, Chordata, Actinopteri, Salmoniformes, Salmonidae.